This 441-nucleotide ribosomal RNA is filed under the name uncultured bacterium. Its description in RNAcentral is "partial 16S ribosomal RNA". It matches the Rfam family "Bacterial small subunit ribosomal RNA", at positions 338 to 795 of the family's 1533-position model. The record is from RNAcentral.
CCUACGGGGGCAGCAGUGGGGAAUAUUGCACAAUGGGGGAAACCCUGAUGCAGCGCCGCCGCGUGAAGAAAGAAGGUUUUCGGAUCGUAACCUUCUAUCAGAAGGGAAGAAGAAGGGGACAGUACCUGACUAAGAAGCCCCGGCUAACUACGUGCCAGGAGCCGGGGUAAUACGAGGGGGGCAAGCGUUAUCCGGAAUCAAGGGGUGAAAGGGGUGCGUAGGCGGCCUUUCAAGUCAGGGGUGAAAGGCUAGGGCUCAACGGUGGUAAGCCUUUGAAACUGUAGGGGUUGAGUGCGGGAGGGGGGAGUGGAAUGGCCGGUGGAGCGGUGGAAUGCGUAGGUAUUGGGGGGAGCACGAGGGGGGGAGGCGGGGGUGUGGAGUGUAACUGAGGCUGAGGCAGGAAAGCGUGGGGAGCGAACAGGAUUAGAUACCCCUGUAGUC